AACUUCUCUUACAAGAACAAUAACUCUGCUUUUCCCCAAAAUUCUAUUCCUCAAAGACUAGCAGGUUUCCAAGCCCAAAGACUAACACAACCUAUACAAACUACCCCUCAAAAGUCAAACCUUGAGAAAAUCAUGGAAGAUUUUAUCACGACUCAAACUCGAUAGAAUAAAGAGUUCAUGAACCAAAACGUCCAUAUUAAUGAGUUGAUUUCACAAUUAGGAAACAAGGUUGACUUUGUGGUAACCCACAACAAGAU
This 257-nucleotide long non-coding RNA is filed under the name Lathyrus oleraceus (garden pea). RNAcentral's name for it is "Pisum sativum (pea) long non-coding RNA (PSAT_LNC005618)". The record is from RNAcentral. Lineage: Eukaryota; Viridiplantae; Streptophyta; Magnoliopsida; Fabales; Fabaceae.